Molecule: ribosomal RNA, 252 nt
Filed under: uncultured bacterium
Lineage: Bacteria
Description: partial 16S ribosomal RNA
Rfam family: Bacterial small subunit ribosomal RNA
Source: RNAcentral
UACGGGGGGGCUAGCGUUGUUCGGAAUUACUGGGCGUAAAGGGCGCGUAGGCGGUCUGCUAAGUUGGAUGUGAAAACUCUGGGCUUAACCCAGAGCCUGCAUUCAAUACUGACAGGCUAGAGUUCUGGAGGGGAUAGCGGAAUUCCUGGUGUAGCGGUGAAAUGCGUAGAUAUCAGGAGGAACACCGGUGGCGAAGGCGGCUAUCUGGACAGAGUCUGACGCUGAGGCGCGAAAGCGUGGGGAGCGAACAGG